This 261-nucleotide ribosomal RNA is filed under the name uncultured bacterium. RNAcentral describes it as "partial 16S ribosomal RNA". It matches the Rfam family "Bacterial small subunit ribosomal RNA", at positions 337 to 590 of the family's 1533-position model. The record is from RNAcentral.
UCCUAUGGGGGGCAGCAGUGGGGAAUAUUGCGCAAUGGGCGAAAGCCUGACGCAGCGACGCCGCGUGAGGGAUGAAGGUCUUCGGACCGUCCCCAUCUGCCCUCCUUGAAGAACUUUCCCUGCUCUCAUCAGCAGCGAAUUCCCGCUACCUGCAAAGGAAGCACCCGCCACAUCGUCGACAGCAGCCGCGGUAAUACGGAGGGUGCGAGCGAUCCCCGGAAUUACUGGGCGUAAAGCGCUCGUAGGCGGUAUGUCAAGCCC